This 69-nucleotide transfer RNA is filed under the name Ictidomys tridecemlineatus (thirteen-lined ground squirrel). Its description in RNAcentral is "Spermophilus tridecemlineatus (thirteen-lined ground squirrel) tRNA". It matches the Rfam family "tRNA". From Rfam's summary of the family: Transfer RNA (tRNA) molecules are approximately 80 nucleotides in length. Their secondary structure includes four short double-helical elements and three loops (D, anti-codon, and T loops). Further hydrogen bonds mediate the characteristic L-shaped molecular structure. tRNAs have two regions of fundamental functional importance: the anti-codon, which is responsible for specific mRNA codon recognition, and the 3' end, to which the tRNAs corresponding amino acid is attached (by aminoacyl-tRNA synthetases). tRNAs cope with the degeneracy of the genetic code in two manners: having more than one tRNA (with a specific anti-codon) for a particular amino acid; and 'wobble' base-pairing, i.e. permitting non-standard base-pairing at the 3rd anti-codon position. The record is from Rfam by way of RNAcentral. Lineage: Eukaryota; Metazoa; Chordata; Mammalia; Rodentia; Sciuridae.
GGGAUUGUAGCUCAGUGGUAAAGCACUUGCCUCACAUGCAUGAGGCACUGGGUUCAGUCCUCAGCACCA